Cercocebus atys (sooty mangabey) is the source of this 107-nucleotide small nuclear RNA. The record is from Ensembl. Lineage: Eukaryota; Metazoa; Chordata; Mammalia; Primates; Cercopithecidae.
GUACUUGUUUCAGCAGCAUAUAUACUCAAAUUGGAACAAUAUAGAGAAGAUUAGCAUGGCCCCUGAGCAAGUAUGACAUGAAAAUUUGUGAAGAGUUCCACAUUUUU